UGGGGAAUAUUGCACAAUGGGCGCAAGCCUGAUGCAGCCAUGCCGCGUGUGUGAAGAAGGCCUUCGGUUGUAAAGCACUUUCAGCGAGGAGGAAGGUGGUGAACUUAAUACGUUCAUCAAUUGACGUUACUCGCAGAAGAAGCACCGGCUAACUCCGUGCCAGCAGCCGCGGUAAUACGGAGGGUGCAAGCGUUAAUCGGAAUUACUGGGCGUAAAGCGCACGCAGGCGGUUUGUUAAGUCAGAUGUGAAAUCCCCGGGCUCAACCUGGGAACUGCAUUUGAAACUGGCAAGCUAGAGUCUCGUAGAGGGGGGUAGAAUUCCAGGUGGUAGCGGUGAAAUGCGUAGAGAUCUGGAGGAAUACCGGUGGCGAAGGCGGCCCCCUGACGAAGACUGACGCUCAGGUGCGAAAAGCGUGGGGAGCAAACAGGAUUAGAUAACCCUGGUAGUCCACGCUGUAAAACGAUGUCGAUUUUGGAGGUUGUGCCCUUUGAGGCGUGGGCUUCCGGAGCUAACGCGUUAAAAUCGACCGCCUGGGGGAGUACGGCCGGCAAGG
This 554-nucleotide ribosomal RNA is filed under the name uncultured bacterium. Its description in RNAcentral is "partial 16S ribosomal RNA". It matches the Rfam family "Bacterial small subunit ribosomal RNA", at positions 355 to 893 of the family's 1533-position model. The record is from RNAcentral.